AGUAACGUAGUAUACCAAGUUUUAGCUUCUAACUAAAAUAGAGAAAAUUAAUUUCUGUUACUC
RNAcentral lists this transfer RNA (63 nucleotides) under Heterodoxus macropus (wallaby louse). RNAcentral describes it as "tRNA-Ser". Lineage: Eukaryota; Metazoa; Arthropoda; Insecta; Psocodea; Boopidae. The record is from RNAcentral.